This 520-nucleotide ribosomal RNA is filed under the name uncultured Acaulospora. RNAcentral's name for it is "SSU rRNA". It matches the Rfam family "Eukaryotic small subunit ribosomal RNA", at positions 569 to 1084 of the family's 1831-position model. The record is from RNAcentral. Lineage: Eukaryota; Fungi; Glomeromycota; Glomeromycetes; Diversisporales; Acaulosporaceae.
AGCAGCCGCGGUAAUUCCAGCUCCAAUAGCGUAUAUUAAAGUUGUUGCAGUUAAAAAGCUCGUAGUUGAAUUUCGGGAUUUAUCCGUCGGUCGGGCUUUUGGGUCUGUACUGGCGUGAUGGAUUCCUACCUUCUGAAUAACCGGCAUGUCAUUAAUUUGGUGCGCUGGGGAAGCAGGACUGUUACCUUGAAAAAAUUAGAGUGCUUAAAGCAGGCUAUUGCCUGAAUACAUUAGCAUGGAAUAAUGAAAUAGGACGGCAUGGUUCUAUUUUGUUGGUUUCUAGGAUCACCGUAAUGAUUAAUAGGGAUAGUUGGGGGCAUUAGUAUUCAAUUGUCAGAGGUGAAAUUCUUGGAUUUAUUGAAGACUAACUUCUGCGAAAGCAUUUGCCAAGGAUGUUUUCAUUAAUCAAGAACGAAAGUUAGGGGAUCGAAGACGAUCAGAUACCGUCGUAGUCUUAACCAUAAACUAUGCCGACUAGGGAUCGGACGAUGUUAAAUUUUUUAAUUAGUACUCGUUCGGU